Molecule: ribosomal RNA, 645 nt
Filed under: Escherichia coli
Lineage: Bacteria; Pseudomonadati; Pseudomonadota; Gammaproteobacteria; Enterobacterales; Enterobacteriaceae
Description: partial 23S ribosomal RNA
Rfam family: Bacterial large subunit ribosomal RNA
Source: RNAcentral
UUUUGUAUAAUGGGUCAGCGACUUAUAUUCUGUAGCAAGGUUAACCGAAUAGGGGAGCCGAAGGGAAACCGAGUCUUAACUGGGCGUUAAGUUGCAGGGUAUAGACCCGAAACCCGGUGAUCUAGCCAUGGGCAGGUUGAAGGUUGGGUAACACUAACUGGAGGACCGAACCGACUAAUGUUGAAAAAUUAGCGGAUGACUUGUGGCUGGGGGUGAAAGGCCAAUCAAACCGGGAGAUAGCUGGUUCUCCCCGAAAGCUAUUUAGGUAGCGCCUCGUGAAUUCAUCUCCGGGGGUAGAGCACUGUUUCGGCAAGGGGGUCAUCCCGACUUACCAACCCGAUGCAAACUGCGAAUACCGGAGAAUGUUAUCACGGGAGACACACGGCGGGUGCUAACGUCCGUCGUGAAGAGGGAAACAACCCAGACCGCCAGCUAAGGUCCCAAAGUCAUGGUUAAGUGGGAAACGAUGUGGGAAGGCCCAGACAGCCAGGAUGUUGGCUUAGAAGCAGCCAUCAUUUAAAGAAAGCGUAAUAGCUCACUGGUCGAGUCGGCCUGCGCGGAAGAUGUAACGGGGCUAAACCAUGCACCGAAGCUGCGGCAGCGACGCUGAUGCGUUGUUGGGUAGGGGAGCGUUCUGUAAGCCUG